GAAUAUCUUUGGGGGGACAGAAAAAUCUCAAAAAAAUCAGGGGUGUUAUGGCUACGUGAGCUGUGGCUGUGAGGAUGUCGGCAUGUAAACGAGGCUCCAUUCAAAUCUAUAAGGGAAAAUGUCAUCCGAGAUCAUGCUCGCUGUUGAGCGUAAGGAUUCGCUCGCGAGAACACAAAAAUCAAACCAAAGACACAGGCGGAGAAGAUUGCGACUCACAGACUGGUACCAUCAUCAUCUGUUAUGGAACGUCAAUCUGCUGAAUUUUAAUCUUUGAGACUUCUGACCAGGGGCAGAACUACCGUAUAUCGCAGCCAAAAUCAGAUCACCAAUUUUCAACAAGUUACAGACAACUCUCCCUUGUGCAUUCAACACUCCCAUUAUAUAAUCAUUGAUGACAUCAUGUGGGUGGCACUACGGGAGCUGACCUUCCCAUUGGUUAUCUGGGAAGUCUAAAUCGGAUUGGCCCUUGGAAAUUUCAUUUUUAACAGCCAGAAAGAACCUUCUGGCUGUAGUUCUCGCAACAUAACACCAGGUGGCAGCAUACAGUACAACAUAGCAAUACAAUACAGCAUUUCUGACAUUUUUAAGCAAGUUAAUUUUUUUUUUAUAAAAUGGUUAUUUAAUCAGAUCACACUCUCUGCAUUAAUCAUAUAUAACCCCAAUUACAGAUGGUUAAUAUUAGGUUAUUUUUUUCUGAUUAUUCUGAUACCAAAUAUGUUAUAUUAUUAACAUUU
This is a long non-coding RNA of Bombina bombina (fire-bellied toad), 734 nucleotides long. RefSeq lists it as uncharacterized. The record is from RefSeq and is a predicted model, not a curated record. Lineage: Eukaryota; Metazoa; Chordata; Amphibia; Anura; Bombinatoridae. The transcript has 5 exons.